GUAUUGCUGAUGAGACCUAAACAGGUCGAAACAGCUGUCCAGCGC
Molecule: non-coding RNA, 45 nt
Organism: Echinostoma caproni
Lineage: Eukaryota; Metazoa; Platyhelminthes; Trematoda; Plagiorchiida; Echinostomatidae
Source: Rfam